Molecule: non-coding RNA, 97 nt
Filed under: Alexandrium minutum
Lineage: Eukaryota; Dinophyceae; Gonyaulacales; Pyrocystaceae
Source: RNAcentral
CGUAGCCAUUUUGGCUCAAGCCAUUUGCGCUCCGAACCAGUGAUUCUCGAGCCGAUCAACCCAAGCACUGCUGGAGUGUAUGGAGCAUGGACAGCGG